This 475-nucleotide ribosomal RNA is filed under the name uncultured bacterium. RNAcentral describes it as "bacterial SSU rRNA". It matches the Rfam family "Bacterial small subunit ribosomal RNA", at positions 29 to 507 of the family's 1533-position model. The record is from RNAcentral.
AGCGAACGUUAGCGGCGGGCCUAACACAUGCAAGUCGAACGCGAAAGGUCUUCGGACUGAGUAGAGUGGCGCACGGGUGAGUAACACGUAGGUAAUCUACCCUUUGGCGGGGGAUAACGUUCCGAAAGGAGCGCUAAUACCGCAUAAGACCACGGAGUCUCCGGACGCUGUGGGAAAAGGUGGCCUCUUCUUGAAAGCUACCACCGAAGGAUGAGCCUGCGUCCCAUCAGCUAGUUGGUAAGGUAAUGGCUUACCAAGGCGAAGACGGGUAGCUGGUUUGAGAGAAUGAUCAGCCACACUGGCACUGGAACACGGGCCAGACUCCUACGGGAGGCAGCAGUGGGGAAUCUUGCGCAAUGGGCGAAAGCCUGACGCAGCAACGCCGCGUGGGGGAUGAAGGCUUUCGGGUUGUAAACCCCUUUCAGCAGGGACGAAUCAAGACGGUACCUGCAGAAGAAGCCCGGCUAACUACGUG